This 212-nucleotide long non-coding RNA is filed under the name Elaeis guineensis (African oil palm). Its description in RNAcentral is "long non-coding RNA (EGUI_LNC053811)". Lineage: Eukaryota; Viridiplantae; Streptophyta; Magnoliopsida; Arecales; Arecaceae. The record is from RNAcentral.
AGUUAAUUGGUUAUAAUUAAUUUCAAAGUUAGUUAGGAUUGGUCCAAGAAUUAGUUAAGGAUUGAAUAAAGAUUCAAGAAAGUCCUAAUUGGACUAGGACUCAUUCUUCUUGACUGCCCACCCCAUGAAACCCAUCUCUGUGCCAUAUGGAAUCAUGCCCAAUGUUUCUUCACAUAAAAAAUUAGUUUUGGUGUGAGAAAAGCUGUGCCCAA